This 467-nucleotide ribosomal RNA is filed under the name uncultured bacterium. RNAcentral describes it as "partial 16S ribosomal RNA". It matches the Rfam family "Bacterial small subunit ribosomal RNA", at positions 28 to 506 of the family's 1533-position model. The record is from RNAcentral.
GAUGAACGCUGGCGGCGUGCUUAACACAUGCAAGCCGAACGGUGAAGGCGGAGCUUGCUCUGCUGGAUCAGUGGCGAACGGGUGAGUAACACGUGAGCAAUCUGCCCCUGACUCUGGGAUAAGCGCUGGAAACGGCGUCUAAUACUGGAUACGAGCUGCGAAGGCAUCUUCAGCAGCUGGAAAGAAUUUCGGUCAGGGAUGAGCUCGCGGCCUAUCAGCUUGUUGGUGAGGUAAUGGCUCACCAAGGCGUCGACGGGUAGCCGGCCUGAGAGGGUGACCGGCCACACUGGGACUGAGACACGGCCCAGACUCCUACGGGAGGCAGCAGUGGGGAAUAUUGCACAAUGGGCGAAAGCCUGAUGCAGCAACGCCGCGUGAGGGACGACGGCCUUCGGGUUGUAAACCUCUUUUAGCAGGGAAGAAGCGAAAGUGACGGUACCUGCAGAAAAAGCGCCGGCUAACUACGU